UACGUAGGGCGCAAGCGUUAUCCGGAAUUAUUGGGCGUAAAGAGCUCGUAGGCGGUUUGUCGCGUCUGCCGUGAAAGUCCGGGCUCAACUCCGGAUCUGCGGUGGGUACGGCAGACUAGAGUGAUGUAGGGAGACUGGAAUUCCUGGUGUAGCGGUGAAAUGCGCAGAUAUCAGGAGGAACACCGAUGGCGAAGGCAGGUCUCUGGCAUUAACUGACGCUGAGGAGCGAAAGCAUGGGAGCGAACAGG
Molecule: ribosomal RNA, 248 nt
Filed under: uncultured bacterium
Lineage: Bacteria
Description: partial 16S ribosomal RNA
Rfam family: Bacterial small subunit ribosomal RNA
Source: RNAcentral